Long non-coding RNA from Pieris brassicae (large cabbage white), 1582 nucleotides. RefSeq lists it as uncharacterized. The record is from RefSeq and is a predicted model, not a curated record. The transcript has 3 exons. Lineage: Eukaryota; Metazoa; Arthropoda; Insecta; Lepidoptera; Pieridae.
UGUGGCGACGCAGCUGUAGCGCGGCAACCACAUAGAGCAACACUUGUGUACAACGGGAGGAAUACAAACAAUUUACAAUGGAAAAUGAGCACAACGUUGAGGAAAACAUGUGCAAAUCGCGAUCACAACGCGUAUGUCAAAAUUUGGUAUUUACUUAUAACUUUUAUAAACCUGAAAAGUUUGUUUACCAACGCGCUAUACAAACAACGGGUUCGAGUUGAAAUUAACACAGAUGAGACAGCUAGUAUCGUAAAUUAAGUGAGCUGGUCAGUAAGUCAAUGUCUUGUGAACGAUGCCGGGUGACGUCACCUCUUCUACACGAAGCAUAUGAGAGCUGUACCGUUUUAGGAAAGUCCUGGAUUCGAUUGUUCUGAUUAGAACAUGAUCACAUAAUAUAGUUGCUAUGAGCUGCACAGUGUAUCAGAUUUACAGGUAAUUUCGAGUGCUUUACCUAAACAAUUAAGAAAUGUACGCGAAACCAAUUAGGAAAGACCCGUGCCUUCAAUUAUAAUUAGUGAUUUGGAGUACCGAUUACUAACUUUGUCAAAUGUGUUGAAGAUUUAAUCGUGUUAUUGAGAUGGUAUCAAAACCCCUAUUUAAUUAUAUGAAGCCGGUUCGACAACUCCAUAACGUGAAUUUUAAAGAAAUAUAGUAUAUACCUUCUAUGUAUGAUAUCAAAGUAUCCUUAGGUAAGACAUAAUAGAUUAUUUUGUUGCCGACGUCCACCAGAGUCGAGUAUUUAGUUAAGAUUCUUAAACGAUUAGGUUCCAUUAUUAUUUUACUCGAGCACUUGCAUCAGCUAUAUUUUCCCAUAAUAAAUAACAUUCAGAAAAUAUGCGUCUCAUAGACGCAAUUUUAAAAGCAUUUACCGUUUUUAUUAACAAUUGCUCAGUAUAGUGUUCUCAAUAUUUUAGAGACUAUGACACAAAUUUAAAUUAAAAGCAUUUUUAAUAAUCGGAAUUAAUUGCGAUUACAUGCGGACCUUUAAAGGAUCGUUAAUGUCGACCCGCUAAAAUGAUUGUACGUAAGUUUUUUAUUAAUCAUAAUUUAUAAAAUACAUUAUUAAAAACAAGACCGGAAAAUAUUAUUAAUGAAACAAUGUUAACAUCACUUAAUUUAACUUGUAUUCGAACAAUACAUGAAAACAAUUUACGACAUAUUUUAUUUGUAUGAGAUUAGACGUUUCUUGGUAUUGAUUAAUAGUUAGUAACAAAUUAUCUGUCUUUCAACCGUAGACUCUUAGCUCACUGAUGCGUCACCGACCCUCAAGUUUGUAUUAUUAAUAAGAUGAACGUCUUUUUUCCUAUUUAUUAGAAUCUGAGUAUAAAGUCAAUCGAGACUAAUAAUUACUGGCUUAUUUUUACGGAAACAGAUACUAAUUUGAGCUUACAAUAUCAAUAGUUAUAUAUACAUGUAGUAUAUUUUAAAUAAUAAUUUUAGUAGAGAUUCUUGGGCAGUGGGUUCAAGUGCACAGGCGCUAAUGUUAGGUAAGUUGCCGCCUGUUAGAUAGUACUGGUGACCCCAGAGCUGGUGCUUUCCUCGCUCAACGAAUAAGUAUCGCAAUACAGCGAGGAAGUGCUGC